UACGUAGGGUGCGAGCGUUGUCCGGAAUUACUGGGCGUAAAGAGCUCGUAGGUGGUUUGUCGCGUUGUUCGUGAAAACCGGGGGCUUAACCCUCGGCGUGCGGGCGAUACGGGCAGACUUGAGUACUACAGGGGAGACUGGAAUUCCUGGUGUAGCGGUGGAAUGCGCAGAUAUCAGGAGGAACACCGGUGGCGAAGGCGGGUCUCUGGGCAGUAACUGACGCUGAGGAGCGAAAGCGUGGGGAGCGAACAGG
RNAcentral lists this ribosomal RNA (253 nucleotides) under uncultured bacterium. Its description in RNAcentral is "partial 16S ribosomal RNA". It matches the Rfam family "Bacterial small subunit ribosomal RNA", at positions 524 to 776 of the family's 1533-position model. The record is from RNAcentral.